UAAGGAAUAUUCCACAAUGGGCGCAAGCCUGAUGGAGCAACGCCGCGUGCAUGAUGAAGCCCUUCGGGGUGUAAAAUGCUUUUCUCAGGGAUGAUUCCAGACAGUACCUGAGGAAUAAGUCUCGGCUAACUACGUGCCAGCAGCCGCGGUAAUACGUAGGAGACGAGCGUUGUCCGGAAUUACUGGGCGUAAAGCGCGUGUAGGCGGAUGAGCAAGUCUGCUGUGAAAGCUCCUGGCUUAACCGGGAGUGGUCGGUGGAAACUGCUCGUCUGGAGGACGGUAGAGGUAGGUAGAAUUCCCGGUGUAGUGGUGAAAUGCGUAGAGAUCGGGAGGAAUACCUGUGGCGAAGGCGGCCUACUGGGCCGGACCUGACGCUGAGACGCGAAGGCGUGGGGAGCGAACGG
This 404-nucleotide ribosomal RNA is filed under the name uncultured bacterium. RNAcentral describes it as "bacterial SSU rRNA". It matches the Rfam family "Bacterial small subunit ribosomal RNA", at positions 355 to 775 of the family's 1533-position model. The record is from RNAcentral.